RNAcentral lists this long non-coding RNA (1588 nucleotides) under Homo sapiens (human). Its description in RNAcentral is "HSALNT0404967". Lineage: Eukaryota; Metazoa; Chordata; Mammalia; Primates; Hominidae. The record is from RNAcentral.
AGUCCGCUGGUGGAAGACAGGACACAGGCUGGAAAGUGCCUUCCAACACCACCCAGCCACCACGGCCAGGCUGGAAGGACAGCACACCCCAGCCACUCAGGAGUCACUUCGGACAGCCCACCUAGGGGCUUAAGUCCCAGUGGGACAUGCCCACCCAGGCUGCCUCAGCUGCCCACGGGGCCUCCAACCACAGCCACAGGCUCCACAGGUAUGACCACCCUGCCCAACUCAGUCCGCUUGGGCCAUCCAGUUGGCCGCAGAGCAGAAGGAUGGCGAUCAAACCACAGAACAGAGUAUGUGGACAGGUGGGCGGGGCACUGCAGAGUGGAGGGUGGACCUGGAGGGUGCCUGGGAAUCCACACACACCAAGGCUGGACCUCACAAGAGGAGGGGCGGGCACGCUACACUCUGAAGUCUGAAUCGUCCCUGGCCAGCCUGUGGCUGCUCUCACCUUUCCUUUGCUGCAGUGUGUGUCAAACACAUGAAUGAAUGAGCAAAUGAGUGAAUCAGUCCCUGCCACCAGACCCCACAGGGUUACAUCAAGGCCACCGAGGCUCAGCCGGGACAGGACUGGCCGGUAUCACACAAUCGGUGGGGGGAGGGCAUCACACCCGGACUUCUGCACACAGGGCCUCUUUGCCAGAGGCUGGGCUGGAGCUCGACCCCAGGGCCACCUGGCUCACCUCAUCUGUCCCCAUAGCCACCUUUCAGUCCCCACCAUGGCCACCAUCCCCUUGUCCCCCACCUCCGUCCCCACAGCCACCCUGCCCACGGAGUUGAUCGCUUGAUUAAGCGCAGCAUUUCAGUGCCCAGGGAGAAAAAUCAAUUCGCUUGGUUCCACUUUAAUCCAUCAGUUCCAUUUCUGAUAAAUGUCCCCGUGCUGGAGUCACCAUGUAGCCGCAGUGCCCCGCAGAGAUUAGCUGCUAGGUCAGGGCAGCCAGGGCGAGCAUCUGGCGAGCUGGGGCAAGCCUGGACCCUCAACUUGCCGUGACUCCCCACCCCUCUUCCCAGCACUUUACAUGGUGGUAAGUGUGGGUACAGAGGUCAGAGCCCAGCUCUGGCCCCACCUGCCAGGGCCUGGAUGAGCCCAGCUCCCAAGCUGCGAGCUGGUGACAUUGUGGGGCUGGGAUUAAAUGGGAUCUGCGGCUGCCAGGCUGGGCUUCUCAGGAAUGAGCUGGCACUGGAGGACGAGUGGAUUAGACGCGAGGUCAAUAUUUGUGGAAUUGAAUUGAAUCUGUCACUUGGGGCGUGUAUGUUCCAGGUAAUUUUGUGGUUUCUGCCUCUGGCAGGAAAACCCAACACGAUGACUGCCCCUCGCAGGCCACAGUCAGCCCGGCCCCAGGAGAGAGACCCGUGGAGCCCUAUGUCUCAGCAGGCAAGACCACCCUGGCCUGCCAUGCCUCCAUCCUAUGCCUAUAAAAACCCAAGACCCUAGCAAGGCAGAGACAGAAGCCUCUGUGUGGGGAGAGGAACACACUGGUGGAAGAAGACAAGCUGCUGGACAUCCCGAGAAUGUUGCCUGACUCCAGGGGAAAACCAUCUCCCCUCUGGCUCCCCCAUCUGCUGAGAGCUACUUCCACUCAAUAAA